AACGCACAUUGCGCCCCCCGGCAUUCCGGGGGGCACGCCUGUCCGAGCGCCAUUGGAAACCUCGAGCCCCGCGCUCGCAGUUGGGGACGCCCGCGAGGGCCCCCCGAAACCCAUGGGCGGCCGCGCCGACCCCCCGCCGCAACGAGCUUCACCGCCCGCGGAGGGGGGCCGGGCCGUGGCCGCCGGAACCCGAACGGAAGGCCUCGGAUCAGGCGGGGUUACCCGCUGAACUUAA
Molecule: unclassified non-coding RNA, 235 nt
Filed under: uncultured fungus
Lineage: Eukaryota; Fungi
Description: partial contains 5.8S ribosomal RNA, internal transcribed spacer 2, and large subunit ribosomal RNA
Source: RNAcentral